CAAUUGUUGUGAUAUGACUAUACUUAUUAUAUAGCUAUAACUACCUUGUAUGGCGCCGUAUAGCUUCUACAGUUGGAGUUGUUAGUUGUCCUUUACAUCAGGAUCACGUCCGUACAGCUAGGCCGAUUUGUAACAACUCAUUAGUCCAUCGCUUGCCAUUCGGAACACUCGGGACUCUUCAUGUAGCUUGUUCUUGUACCGAUGUUCUCCACAUGUUUAUA
Molecule: long non-coding RNA, 221 nt
Filed under: Mytilus galloprovincialis (Mediterranean mussel)
Lineage: Eukaryota; Metazoa; Mollusca; Bivalvia; Mytilida; Mytilidae
Source: RNAcentral